GCUGGACCACACCGUUUAGGUUUCGUUUUGAAACACUUUUACUUUUGCAGACGAAUACGUUGGUGUCCCACUGGGAACUGCUGCUGGUGGAUGCUCACCAUAGGAAGCAGCCGUGUGGCGUUCCCCCUUGUCUGCCUCUGCCCAGCGCUGCCCCCUCCAGCAGAGUUCCUCAGGUAUGGUUCGUGGAUUGGGUCCACGAUGAGAUAAGGAGCCAUGCAGAAUGAAAUCAGCUCCACCACUGAGCACGCAGUUGAGCCCCACAAACACCCUUUGCAAGUGAGACUUUCGGGAUGAAGGCAGUAUGGGCCUGUCGAUCCCUGGAGCAGCCCGGAGGCUGCAGCACCGUGCUUCCCUCCUGGACGGGGGCUACGGCCCCGUGCUUCCCUCCUGGACGGGGGCUACGGCCCCGUGCUUCCCUCCUGGAUGGGGGCUACGGCCCCGUGCUUCCCUCUUGGAUGGAGGCAGCCCUGCCUGCCGGUGGCCUGAUUUAUGGGCCCUGAUGCGACGGUGCCUCGGGGCUCUUGGGAUCCUCCUUUGCUCUGGCCAGAGGGAUGCGGCGCCACACUCGGGGUUCAUGCCGGCAGUGGCACGGAGUGAGUCGCCAGGCUGAAGAUACACUUGGUGAUUUCCUGCACUGAGUGGAGCUGUCUGGAGCCCCCUUGGCAUCCUGCUGAAGAGUUUGAAUCUGCACAUGAGCCUCCUGGAGAUAUUGAACACCUUUUAAAGCGUGGCCAGGCCCAAUCCAGGGUGCUGUGAGUGUACCGUCCACCCUGGGUUUCAAAGACACAGUACCAAAAACAAACAAAAAAAGAAUAUAAAACAUCUUAUUCAUGGGCGGUCAUGGUGGCUCACGCCUGUAAUCCCAGCACUUUGGAAGGCCGAGGCAGGCAGGCCACGAGGUCAAGAGAUCAAGACCAGCCUGGCCAACAUGGUGAAACCCCAUCUUUACUAAAAAUACAAAAAUUAGCUGGGCAUGGUGGCGGGCGCCUAUAAUCCAAGCUACUUGGGAGGCUGAGGCAGGAGAAUCACUUGCCCAGGGAGGCGGACGUUGCAGUGAGCCAAGAUUACGCCACCGCACUCCAGCCUGAGCAACAAAGUGAGACUCCAUCUCAAAAAACAAAAAACAAAACCUCAUUCACUUUUUAUAUUGAUUGUGUUGAAAUAAUAUUUUUGAUAUAUUGGAUUAAGCUAUAGUGUUAACAUAAACUUUACCUGUUUCUUUUUACCUUUUUAAUGUGGCUACUGAAAUAUUUAAAGUUGCAUAUAUGGCCAGGGACAGUGGCCCACACCCGUAGUCCCAGCACUUUGGGAGGCCAAGGUGAGGAGAGGGCUGCAUGAGCUCAGGAGUUCGAGACCAACCUGGGCAACAAAGUGAGAUCCCCGUCUCUGCAAAAAUAACAACAACAAAAAAAAAUAGGUGGGUGAGGUGGUGUGCACCUGUAGUCCCAGCUGCUAGAAAGGCCAAGGUGGGAGGAUCACCUGAGCCCAGGAGGUUGAGGCUGCAGUGAGCUAUGAUUGCACCACUGCACUCCAGCCUGGGUGACAGAGCAAGACCCUGUCUCAAAAACAUUUUUUUAAUUAAAAAAAAUAACAUAUUGAGGUGAGAUUCACAGAACCUAAAACUAACCAUUUUACAGUAUACACGUUAGGCCAGGUGCAGUGGCUCACGCCUGUGACCUUAGCACUUUAAGAGGCUGAGGCGGGUGGAUCACUUGAGAGCAGGAGUUUGAAACCAGCCUGGCCAACAUGGUGAAACCCAAUCUCUACUAAAAAUACAAAAAAAUUAGCCAGGUGUGGUGAUGGGCGCCUGUAAUCCCAGUUACUUUGGAGGCUGAGGCAGGAGAAUCACUUGAACACAGAGGCGGAGGUUGCAGUGAGCCAAGAUUACGCCACCACACUCCAGCCCGGGUGACAGAGCGAGACUCCGUCUAAAAAAAAAAAAAAAAA
Molecule: long non-coding RNA, 1947 nt
Filed under: Macaca fascicularis (crab-eating macaque)
Lineage: Eukaryota; Metazoa; Chordata; Mammalia; Primates; Cercopithecidae
Description: lncRNA (ENSMFAG00000058573.1)
Source: RNAcentral